Molecule: ribosomal RNA, 490 nt
Filed under: uncultured bacterium
Lineage: Bacteria
Description: partial 16S ribosomal RNA
Rfam family: Bacterial small subunit ribosomal RNA
Source: RNAcentral
AUGAACGCUAGCGAUAGGCUUAACACAUGCCAGUCGCGGGGUAACGUGUUGGAAGCUUGCUUCCGAUGACGACGACCGGCGGAUGGGUGCGUAACGCGUAUGCAACUUGCCUCACAGUGGAGAAUAACCCGGAGAAAUCCGGACUAAUACUCCAUACACUCUUAAGUACGCCUGUACAUGAGAGGAAAGAUUUAUCGCUGUGAGAUAGGCAUGCGUCCUAUUAGGUAGUUGGUGAGGUAACGGCUCACCAAGCCGACGAUAGGUAGGGGUGCUGAGAGGCAGAUCCCCCACAUUGGGACUGAGACACGACCCAAACUCCUACGGGAGGCAGCAGUGAGGAAUAUUGGUCAAUGGAGGAAACUCUGAACCAGCCAAGUCGCGUGAAGGAAGAAUGUCCUAAGGAUUGUAAACUUCUUUAGCGAGCGAGUAAGGACUUCCACGUGAUGGGAGUUUGAAAGUAGCUCGAGAAUAAGUAUCGGCUAACUCCGUG